Molecule: ribosomal RNA, 372 nt
Filed under: uncultured organism
Description: bacterial SSU rRNA
Rfam family: Bacterial small subunit ribosomal RNA
Source: RNAcentral
CGUAGGUGGCAAGCGUUGUCCGGAAUUAUUGGGCGUAAAGCGCGCGCAGACGGUCCUUUAAGUCUGAUGUGAAAGCCCACGGCUCAACCGUGGAGGGUCAUUGGAAACUGGGGGACUUGAGUACAGAAGAGAAGAGUGGAAUUCCACGUGUAGCGGUGAAAUGCGUAGAGAUGUGGAGGAACACCAGUGGCGAAGGCGACUCUUUGGUCUGUAACUGACGCUGAGGCGCGAAAGCGUGGGGAGCAAACAGGAUUAGAUACCCUGGUAGUCCACGCCGUAAACGAUGAGUGCUAAGUGUUAGAGGGUUUCCGCCCUUUAGUGCUGCAGCAAACGCAUUAAGCACUCCGCCUGGGGAGUACGGCCGCAAGGCUG